GUCCCCGUAGCGCAGCGGAUAGCACGCUGGACUUCUUAUCCAGAGGCCGCGGGUUCGAAUCCCGCCGGGGAUG
This 73-nucleotide transfer RNA is filed under the name Haliotis rufescens (red abalone). RNAcentral's name for it is "tRNA-Arg". It matches the Rfam family "tRNA". Rfam says of the family: Transfer RNA (tRNA) molecules are approximately 80 nucleotides in length. Their secondary structure includes four short double-helical elements and three loops (D, anti-codon, and T loops). Lineage: Eukaryota; Metazoa; Mollusca; Gastropoda; Lepetellida; Haliotidae. The record is from RNAcentral.